UACGGGGGGUGCGAGCGUUGUCCGGAAUCACUGGGCGUAAAGGGCGCGUAGGCGGUCUCUUAAGCGUGUGGUGAAAGCCCGGGGCUCAACUCCGGGUCGGCCGUGCGAACUGGGGGACUGGAGCUUGUCAGAGGCAGGCGGAAUUCCGGGUGUAGCGGUGGAAUGCGUAGAGAUCCGGAAGAACACCGGUGGCGAAGGCGGCCUGCUGGGACAGUGCUGACGCUGAGGCGCGACAGCGUGGGGAGCAAACAGG
This 253-nucleotide ribosomal RNA is filed under the name uncultured bacterium. RNAcentral's name for it is "partial 16S ribosomal RNA". It matches the Rfam family "Bacterial small subunit ribosomal RNA", at positions 524 to 776 of the family's 1533-position model. The record is from RNAcentral.